GACAGAGGGUGCAAACGUUGUUCGGAAUUACUGGGCGUAAAGCGAGUGUAGGCGGUUUGGUAAGUCGGAUGUGAAAGCCCCCGGGCUCAACCCGGGAAGUGCACUCGAUACUGCCAAGCUAGAGUAUCGGAGAGGUUGGUGGAAUUCUCGGUGUAGAGGUGAAAUUCGUAGAUAUCGAGAGGAACACCGGUGGCGAAGGCGGCCAACUGGACGAAUACUGACGCUGAGACUCGAAAGCGUGGGGAGCAAACAGG
This 254-nucleotide ribosomal RNA is filed under the name uncultured bacterium. RNAcentral describes it as "partial 16S ribosomal RNA". It matches the Rfam family "Bacterial small subunit ribosomal RNA", at positions 524 to 776 of the family's 1533-position model. The record is from RNAcentral.